This 630-nucleotide ribosomal RNA is filed under the name uncultured bacterium. RNAcentral's name for it is "bacterial SSU rRNA". It matches the Rfam family "Bacterial small subunit ribosomal RNA", at positions 56 to 699 of the family's 1533-position model. The record is from RNAcentral.
UGCAGUCGAGCGAGGCUCCUCCUUCGGGAGGAUGUCCUAGCGGCGAACGGGUGAGUAACACGUGGGCAACCUGCCCCUAGCACUGGGAUAACCCCGGGAAACCGGAGCUAAUACCGGAUACGACCACAGUUGGCAUCAACCUGUGGUGGAAAGAUUUAUCGGCUAGGGAUGGGCCCGCGGCCUAUCAGCUUGUUGGUGGGGUAGUGGCCCACCAAGGCGACGACGGGUAGCCGGCCUGAGAGGGCGACCGGCCACACUGGGACUGAGACACGGCCCAGACUCCUACGGGAGGCAGCAGUGGGGAAUAUUGCUCAAUGGGCGCAAGCCUGAAGCAGCGACGCCGCGUGAGGGAUGAAGGCCUUCGGGUUGUAAACCUCUUUCAGCUCCGACGAAGCGAAAGUGACGGUAGGAGCAGAAGAAGCACCGGCCAACUACGUGCCAGCAGCCGCGGUAAUACGUAGGGUGCAAGCGUUGUCCGGAAUUAUUGGGCGUAAAGAGCUCGUAGGCGGUUUGUCACGUCGGCUGUGAAAUCCCGAGGCUCAACCUCGGGUCUGCAGUCGAUACGGGCAGACUAGAGUACUGCAGGGGAGACUGGAAUUCCUGGUGUAGCGGUGGAAUGCGCAGAUAUCA